This is a non-coding RNA of Schistosoma haematobium, 45 nucleotides long. Lineage: Eukaryota; Metazoa; Platyhelminthes; Trematoda; Strigeidida; Schistosomatidae. The record is from Rfam.
AUCCAGCCAACGAGUCCCAAAUAGGACGAAACGCGCGUCCUGGAU